Cotesia glomerata is the source of this 212-nucleotide long non-coding RNA. RefSeq lists it as uncharacterized. The transcript is spliced from 3 exons. The record is from RefSeq and is a predicted model, not a curated record. Lineage: Eukaryota; Metazoa; Arthropoda; Insecta; Hymenoptera; Braconidae.
UUUUUGUUUGAAUUUUUUUUUUUCAGUAAGUUCUCAGAUGCCUGGUGGUAAUUAAAGGAAAAACCCUCGACUAUAAAAGAUAUCAUAAAGACAUUACCAACGCUGCCGACGACAGCGAGAGAAGCGAGUAGUAGAAGCCUUGCGACUCUGGACCAGUCAGAUGAGAGUGUAACCGGCGACACAUCUAGAUCGCUGUCAAAUAUAUUUGUUUU